This 265-nucleotide long non-coding RNA is filed under the name Prunus persica (peach). Its description in RNAcentral is "long non-coding RNA (PPER_LNC004354)". Lineage: Eukaryota; Viridiplantae; Streptophyta; Magnoliopsida; Rosales; Rosaceae. The record is from RNAcentral.
GUUGAUCACAGAGCCCCUUCGGCAUGCUUCCUACCGAAGCCAUCUAUCUUGGCCCUUUUUACCAUUGGACACGUGUCAUGCUCCCAAUCCAUGCCCACAGUCCCACAUCGGAAAUAUGAGCACAGCGCACACCUCCCAAGGCCUAUAUAAGGAGACCCCUAUCCCCAAAAAGAGGGGAUCAGAACUAACGGUACGCUAUCGAUUAAUCUGUCAGUUAUCUUUACUAAAACCGUACUAACUAAAGCAUCGGAGAGCCUUCGGCCGG